Long non-coding RNA from Colias croceus (clouded yellow), 574 nucleotides. RefSeq lists it as uncharacterized. The record is from RefSeq and is a predicted model, not a curated record. The transcript is spliced from 2 exons. NCBI's taxonomy places the organism in Eukaryota, Metazoa, Arthropoda, Insecta, Lepidoptera, Pieridae.
AAGAAUCAUCCGGGUAAAACGAUACAAUUUUCAAAUACUUUUCUACGGUGGCUCAGACGCCCUUUUCUUAGUCUUAGUAGUUUCCAUUCUUUACCCACCCUAAAUACUUUCCUUAUCCCUGACCCUUUAAAAGCAGGCUGUAACGAAUUUGCAGAGACAAAAGGGUGGUGAUCGCUUACGAUUAGGCAAAGUUAGCUCGGAUGUCCGCUCCAAAAUAAAAGAAAAACGUAAAAUAGUUAUAAUGUUUUCAUACAUAGGUAUCGUCCAAAUCGUCUGCAUUCUUUACGCAUUGCUGCUACUGGGUUCUGUGCGUUUAUUUUGUUACUGCGAUCAUCGAGAUUUUAUCGAACGUUACAUAGAAGGCUUCAAACGUCCAACGGAUCGGAUCACGUGGCGUCGCUCCGUGCUGCGGCUGCGGGACUCGCAAUGAUACUGCGCGCUGCGAACAUUUACCGCGUCCUUCGUACCACACCGCGUGAUCAGUCGAGACCGUUCUAGAAUGUUCUAUGAUUCGAAAUUUGAAAUUGUAACAGCUACAUUCCAUAUUGAAAAGUAAAUAAACAUUGAAAAGUGA